CCUACGGGAGGCUGCAGUGGGGAAUAUUGGGCAAUGGGCGCAAGCCUGACCCAGCAAUGCCGCGUGAAGGAAGAAGGCUUUCGGGUUGUAAACUUCUUUGACAGGGGAAGAGCAGAAGACGGUACCCUGAAAACAAGCCACGGCUAACUACGUGCCAGCAGCCGCGGUAAUACGUAGGUGGCAAGCGUGUUCCGAAUUUACUGGGUGUAAAGGGCGUGUAGCCGGGAAGGCAAGUCAGAGGUGAAAUCUGGAGGCUCAACCUCCAAAUUGCUUUUGAAACUGUUUUUCUUGAGUACUGGAGAGGCAGACGGAAUUCCGUGUGUAGCGGUGAAAUGCGUAGAGAUUAGGAGGAACACCAGUGGCGAAGGCGGUCUGCUGGACAGAAACUGACGGUGAGGCGCGAAAGCGUGGGGAGCAAACAGGAUUAGAUACCCCAGUAGUC
Molecule: ribosomal RNA, 442 nt
Filed under: uncultured bacterium
Lineage: Bacteria
Description: partial 16S ribosomal RNA
Rfam family: Bacterial small subunit ribosomal RNA
Source: RNAcentral